Molecule: ribosomal RNA, 253 nt
Filed under: uncultured bacterium
Lineage: Bacteria
Description: partial 16S ribosomal RNA
Rfam family: Bacterial small subunit ribosomal RNA
Source: RNAcentral
GACGUAGGGCGCGAGCGUUGUCCGGAUUUAUUGGGCGUAAAGAGCUUGUAGGCGGUUUGUCGCGUCUGCUGUGAAAAUCCGGGGCUCAACCCCGGACUUGCAGUGGGUACGGGCAGACUAGAGUGUGGUAGGGGAGACUGGAAUUCCUGGUGUAGCGGUGAAAUGCGUAGAUAUCUGGAGGAACACCGGUGGCGAAGGCGGCAUCCUGGACCAAUAUUGACGCUGAGGAGCGAAAGCCAGGGGAGCAAACGGG